Paramuricea clavata is the source of this 308-nucleotide non-coding RNA. The record is from the annotation of a GenBank genome assembly. Lineage: Eukaryota; Metazoa; Cnidaria; Anthozoa; Malacalcyonacea; Plexauridae.
CUCUCCAUUUCGCAUUUCGAAUAAUAGACUCGGGAUUACAAAAUGUGAAUGUAAACUCUCCAUCUAGUAUUGCUUUCUCGCCCUCUUCGUUUGACAGUGAAGUAACACGGUAUUCACGCUUUCUUAGUUCACGGACGUGAGAGUCAAUGAAAGAGUUCAAUUUGCAAAUGACUAUUAAGAUGGGUUUCUCCAGAAAAUUGUGGCUUUUGCCAAGUCGUCGGGCUACUCUCGGUGUUAGAACUUUGGAAUAUCAAACUCUUCCCAUAACCGAUAGCAAGAUGCAAAUACAUCUUUAAUGUGAAUCAAAU